Molecule: long non-coding RNA, 2658 nt
Filed under: Homo sapiens (human)
Lineage: Eukaryota; Metazoa; Chordata; Mammalia; Primates; Hominidae
Description: HSALNT0174450
Source: RNAcentral
GUUUUUGUUAGUCAUCCCUGCUGUCGCUGGCCUGUGACCUUGGAAGGACUAUUUGAGCAGCUUGAAUGGAGUGAUCAGCAGAAGGCAAAGAAGCCAACAUAACACAGAGACUGAGACUCUGAGGAAUGUGAUAUGGAGAUGGAAAAAUGGGGUAGGUCACUUAAAGUCAAGAAGUAAAAACUUGUCUCCUUCUCUGACAUAUUAGAAAAGCUUGAAGUGCUAAUGUUUGCCUAAUAGUUUCUUGUUUUAUAAAAUAGGUAAGCCUUGGGCUGCAUGGUAGCAAUUUCUCUAGCAGAUCCUAGCAGAAGAAUCCAUCUCACCCUUCUGAGAUCUAUGAAUCCAACUCCCAUCAGGCUAUCUCUGAGGACCUCCAUUUGAGAUUAUUGCACUAGAAUCAAAUGUGUGCAACAAGUUAGCUGGUUAGAAAGCCUGGUUAUGGUUUUAAUGACUGCUAUGCGGAGGUGCUGCCUUGUUAGUCUUUAUAGCAACACCAUGAGGUGAGCUGAUUUAAUACUACAUAUUAUAGAUGAGAACAAAAUGUACCUAACAAAGUUAAAUAACAUAUCUAAAUUCAAAUAAUUAAUAAAAGGCAAGGCUUGCAACUGAGACUUGUCUCUCCCUAAAGUGUGUCACUUGCAUAGACAUUCCUGAAUCUUCAAUAAAAGGGUUUAGGAAAAGCAUGUUUGCAUUGAGAAUUAGCUCAUCGGGGAUCCAGACUCAGAAAUGAUUUUUAAAAGUUUAUCAAGUUAAUGAAUUAAAAACUCUAUUCUGUUUUAAAAAAGAGAACGAAUUCAUAAAGGUAAAGAAAAUAUAUAUAACAUUAAAAUAUAGACAUAAGCUUAUCCACUUGAGAAAGAACUGCAUUAAUUUGUGAUUUAUCUGAAGAAAGGCUUAUGCAGUUGAAGUUUGGGGGCACAGCCUUAAGCUGCUCACUCCAGCAGUGCUUAUUUAGCAUAUCCAUUGAGUUCUCUCUUAUUUUUCCUAUGAAAAGCUCAAGGUGAAGUUCAAAGAUACUUUUCUCUUUUUUUAAACAAAAAAGAUGCCUCAAACAUUAUAAUGAAGUGGAAAAACCAAGAGAAUAGCAAACUAUGAAAUGUAGAAAAUGUCAAAGGGGUAAGAAGAGGUACUUCUGAUUGAGGGUGUUAAAUUUCAGUGAGAGUAUGUAUAAUCCAAUUUAUCUCUUUCAUAUAUACUCUAACAUCAUGCCUGUGCAUUAAUUGGGAAUUUUAAUUUCAAUUUGUGCUGUGCCCCUAUGCUAUCUUUGCUAAUAUUCCUUCCUUUUGCUUUUCCAUUUUCUCUUUCCCACCUUCUCUCUUUCUCCAGGGCCAACUAAAGUUACCUGUUGGAAGAGUAUGAGAUUGCCUUAAUGAUAUAUUUGAUUUUAAUAACUCCAAGGUGGCUGACCUCUUAACUUGGUGCCUGGGUCUAUAAAUUAAGGGUCAUAACUUCCAAGCCUUAUAAUUUCUUUCCUAGUGCUAUAGGCAAAGAAACACUCAUAUGCUGAGCAUCAUCUCAAAUUCUUGGACUGCUUAUCUAUGCUAGGAAGAAGUAGUCAAUUAUAACUAGGGAUGGUGCUCAUUUGCAAAGUCAGAACCCAAUUAUUUUCCUGAGAAGCUGGACAUUGAAGUGUUUGGGAUGAACUGAUUCCAUCUUGUUACCUCUAAGGAUCUUGCUGAUAUUUAUCAACUGCAUUUCACAGAUUUAUAUAAUGCUCAGCUUCUGUAUGAAGUACAGAAUGAUACAAAGCUUAAAAUCUCCUACUAUAAGGAGAAUAAGAGUGACAGCAAGAAAUUGAGAGAGGAGGAAUGAAAGGAAAGAAGGAAGGAAGGAAGGAAGGAAAGAAGGAAGGAAGGAAGGAAGGAAGGAAGGAAGGAAAAGAUACAGCGUAGGGCUGGUAGUGUGUAUUAGCAGAGGAGUGGAUAGCUAAACCAAAAUAAUCUGGUUUUAUUUUUUCAGGAGGCUUUUGAAUUCAUGUCUCAAAAUUUGUUUUCUCUGUUUUAUAAAAAUAUUCUGAAAUACCUCACUUAUGUAUCAUUAAUAAAAGUCUGACCCCAAUUGCUUAUAAAUUUGUAGGAAGUUUCUGCCUUGCUUUAUUUCUUGUCUAUUUUUGCUUUAAAGGGAGAUCCAAAGAACUCAGUGAAUGCCCCCUUUUUUUCUUUUCUGUGUUUUAAAAUUCAGCUUAUAUUAUUGACACAGUAAUGGUUUGCAAGCUGUUAGCAUUUGAAAAAAAUGUCAAAAUGCAAUCUUAAAUAAUAGCCAUAAAUGAUAGAAAAUCUCUUUCUAGUAACAUUUGUAACUACCCUAGGUGACACAAACUGUAGUGUUUUGCAUUUAUAUAUUUUGUUGUCCUGAUACCAUUUUCAUACUGUUCUACUGAAAUAUAAGCCAAAAAGUUAUUUUUGAAACAAGGUACAAGCUAUGAUGGAAAGAAAGGAGAGGAGAAGGACACAAGGAGAGAGAGAUGGAGAUAGAGGAAGAGAAAAGAAAGAGAAAGAAGGAAAGCACAAAAAGCAAGAACUCAAUUUGUAUCUAUGGUGUGUGUUUGCUAACCCAACCACCUUCUUAGAAAAUACACACCUUCCAUUUUUUUGCAAAGGCUGAAGUCUACAGAUAACUUUUCUGGGUCUCAACUGUGUAAUUAAAAAAAAGUAUAGGUCA